RNAcentral lists this unclassified non-coding RNA (392 nucleotides) under Hevea brasiliensis (rubber tree). The record is from RNAcentral. Lineage: Eukaryota; Viridiplantae; Streptophyta; Magnoliopsida; Malpighiales; Euphorbiaceae.
CUUAACUAGUUUGUUUUGCCAGUAGUUUCCCCAAGACAAGUAACAUAUGGUGGGGAGAAUGCAAUGGAUAUCUAAACUAUAGCUUUGCCCUUAUAAAUUAACAGGCAUGCUUGAUUCUAUAAAUGGUAAAAACCAAUGAUGAGGGAAUCUUUUUUAUUUUUAUUUUCUGAGGGAGAGUGGAAGUGGUGUUCUUACCUAAUCUUUGUGCUAAAUGCAAUGGAAAAUAUGUGUUUAUGGAUCUGUAUAUGCACUUGCCUUUGUUUAUGUUUUUAGAUACCAGGUUUGAUAGCCACAUGCACCUAAGAAAAUGAUAUGCAUUAAUACAUAUAAUUUGGUAACUUGUUUGCCAUUGACAUUGUAUGGAUUAUAGAUAUGCAUGCAUUCACAUCUGG